UUUAACGGCCGCGGUAUUUUGACCGUGCGAGUGUAACGCAAUCACUUGUCUUUUAAAUAAAGACCUGUCUGAAUGGCACGACGAGGGCUUAGCUGUCUCCUCUCCCCAGUCAAUGAAAUUGAUCUCCCCGUGCAGAAGCGGGGGUACCACCAUAAGACGACAAGACCCCAUGGAGCUUUAGACACUGAGGCAGCCCACAUUAAACAGCCCUGCCCCUGCCAGGAAGAAUAUUAUGGCCCCUUUCCUACUUGUCUUUGGUUGGGGCGACCGCGGAGGAAAAAAGCCUCCAUGUGGACUGAGAGCACUACUCUUACAGCCAAGACCCGCAGCUCUAAGCAACAGAAUUUCUGACCAAAAUGAUCCGGCACACGCCGAUCAACGAACCGAGUUACCCUGGGGAUAACAGCGCAAUCCUCUCCCAGAGUCCCUAUCGACGAGGGGGUUUACGACCUCGAUGUUGGUUCAGGACAUCCUAAUGGUGCAUCCGCUAUUAA
RNAcentral lists this ribosomal RNA (494 nucleotides) under Margrethia obtusirostra. RNAcentral describes it as "partial 16S rRNA". It matches the Rfam family "Bacterial large subunit ribosomal RNA", at positions 1923 to 2568 of the family's 2925-position model. The record is from RNAcentral. Lineage: Eukaryota; Metazoa; Chordata; Actinopteri; Stomiiformes; Gonostomatidae.